ACGAGUUAGGGUCUUCUCGGCCCGACCUCCCAACCCUAUGUUUAUUACACCUUGUGUUGCUUCGGUAGGCCUGGUUUUUGACCUACCGGAGGGCCGUGAAACGUCCUCUGGAGAGUGCCUACCGACAGCCCCCAACCAAAAUUCUUGAACAAAACAUGUCUUGUCUAAGUAAAGCAAAUAAAUAAAAGCA
RNAcentral lists this unclassified non-coding RNA (190 nucleotides) under uncultured Herpotrichiellaceae. Its description in RNAcentral is "sequence contains ITS1". The record is from RNAcentral. Lineage: Eukaryota; Fungi; Ascomycota; Eurotiomycetes; Chaetothyriales; Herpotrichiellaceae.